This 253-nucleotide ribosomal RNA is filed under the name uncultured bacterium. RNAcentral describes it as "partial 16S ribosomal RNA". It matches the Rfam family "Bacterial small subunit ribosomal RNA", at positions 524 to 776 of the family's 1533-position model. The record is from RNAcentral.
UACGUAGGGGGCGAGCGUUGUCCGGAAUCAUUGGGCGUAAAGCGCGUGUAGGCGGCUCGGUAAGUCCGGUGUGAAACCUUGGGGCUCAACCCCAAGCCUGCACUGGAUACUGUCGAGCUCGAGUCCGGGAGGGGAGAGCGGAAUUCCUAGUGUAGCGGUGAAAUGCGCAGAUAUUAGGAAGAACGCCGGUGGCGAAGGCGGCUCUCUGGAACGGUACUGACGCUGAGGCACGAAAGCGUGGGGAGCAAACAGG